GUAGGUGGCAAGCGUUGUCCGGGAAUUAUUGGGGCGUAUAGCGCGCGCAGGCGGUUCGUUUAAGUCUGAUGUGAAAGCCCACGGGCUCAACCGUGGAGGGUCAUUGGAAACUGGAGAACUUGAGUACAGAAGAGGAAAGCGGAAUUCCACGUGUAGCGGUGAAAUGCGUAGAGAUGUGGAGGAACACCAGUGGCGAAGGCGGCUUUCUGGUCUGUAACUGACGCUGAGGCGCGAAAGCGUGGGGAGCAAACAGGAUUAGAUACCCUGGUAGUCCACGCCGUAAACGAUGAGUGCUAAGUGUUAGGGGGUUUCCGCCCCUUAGUGCUGCAGCUAACGCAUUAAGCACUCCGCCUGGGGAGUACGGCCGCAAAGGCUG
This 376-nucleotide ribosomal RNA is filed under the name uncultured organism. RNAcentral describes it as "partial 16S ribosomal RNA". It matches the Rfam family "Bacterial small subunit ribosomal RNA", at positions 527 to 896 of the family's 1533-position model. The record is from RNAcentral.